AGGAGAGGAAGAGCGGCUUCCGGUGGUCUCCACCGAGGAAGUUCCCCCCUCCAUCUAGGUGCUGGUGUGGCUUAAGCCACAUGAGGAGACUCAUAGUACGGGUACAGAAACGGCAUACCUCUUUUGAUAUGGUGAUGACGCGGCUGAGAGUUUCUCGAGUUAACCGCUGGUGACAGCGGUGUUCCCGCUGAAGACCUUAAGAGUUAUAUUGAAACGACCCGCACCAAGGAGCAAGCCCAAAUAGGCUUUCGGUGAGGAACCUAGCCGAGAAAGCGGGUAGGGCGCUUAGUUUAAUGCCGCUAGAGCGGUCUUGGCGACGAGGCCGCUGUAACAUAAGGGGGGCUACUCUCCUGACCU
RNAcentral lists this RNase P RNA (357 nucleotides) under Candidatus Odinarchaeum yellowstonii. RNAcentral describes it as "RNase P RNA component". It matches the Rfam family "Archaeal RNase P". From Rfam's summary of the family: Ribonuclease P (RNase P) is a ubiquitous endoribonuclease, found in archaea, bacteria and eukarya as well as chloroplasts and mitochondria. Lineage: Archaea; Promethearchaeati; Candidatus Odinarchaeota; Candidatus Odinarchaeia; Candidatus Odinarchaeales; Candidatus Odinarchaeaceae. The record is from RNAcentral.